GGUCAAGUGAAGAAGCGCAUACGGUGGAUGCCUUGGCAGUCAGAGGCGAUGAAAGACGUGGUAGCCUGCGAAAAGCUUCGGGGAGUCGGCAAACAGACUUUGAUCCGGAGAUGUCUGAAUGGGGGAACCCAGCCAUCAUAAGAUGGUUACCUUACACUGAAUACAUAGGUGUAAGGGGCGAACCAGGGGAACUGAAACAUCUAAGUACCCUGAGGAAAAGAAAUCAACCGAGAUUCCCUUAGUAGUGGCGAGCGAACGGGGACUAGCCCUUAAGUGGCUUUGAGAUUAGCGGAACGCUCUGGAAAGUGCGGCCAUAGUGGGUGAUAGCCCUGUACGCGAAAAUCUCUUAGUCAUGAAAUCGAGUAGGACGGAGCACGAGAAACUUUGUCUGAAUAUGGGGGGACCAUCCUCCAAGGCUAAAUACUACUGACUGACCGAUAGUGAACUAGUACCGUGAGGGAAAGGCGAAAAGAACCCCGGAGAGGGGAGUGAAAUAGAUCCUGAAACCGUAUGCGUACAAGCAGUGGGAGCCCACUUUGUUGGGUGACUGCGUACCUUUUGUAUAAUGGGUCAGCGACUUAUUUUCAGUGGCGAGCUUAACCGAAUAGGGGAGGCGUAGCGAAAGCGAGUCUUAAUAGGGCGUCUAGUCGCUGGGAAUAGACCCGAAACCGGGCGAUCUAUCCAUGGGCAGGUUGAAGGUUGGGUAACACUAACUGGAGGACCGAACCGACUACCGUUGAAAAGUUAGCGGAUGACCUGUGGAUCGGAGUGAAAGGCUAAUCAAGCUCGGAGAUAGCUGGUUCUCCUCGAAAGCUAUUUAGGUAGCGCCUCAUGUAUCACUGUAGGGGGUAGAGCACUGUUUCGGCUAGGGGGUCAUCCCGACUUACCAAACCGAUGCAAACUCCGAAUACCUACAAGUGCCGAGCAUGGGAGACACACGGCGGGUGCUAACGUCCGUCGUGAAAAGGGAAACAACCCAGACCGUCAGCUAAGGUCCCAAAGUUAUGGUUAAGUGGGAAACGAUGUGGGAAGGCUUAGACAGCUAGGAGGUUGGCUUAGAAGCAGCCACCCUUUAAAGAAAGCGUAAUAGCUCACUAGUCGAGUCGGCCUGCGCGGAAGAUGUAACGGGGCUCAAACCAUACACCGAAGCUACGGGUAUCACGUAAGUGAUGCGGUAGAGGAGCGUUCUGUAAGCCUGUGAAGGUGAGUUGAGAAGCUUGCUGGAGGUAUCAGAAGUGCGAAUGCUGACAUGAGUAACGACAAUGGGUGUGAAAAACACCCACGCCGAAAGACCAAGGUUUCCUGCGCAACGUUAAUCGACGCAGGGUUAGUCGGUCCCUAAGGCGAGGCUGAAAAGCGUAGUCGAUGGAAAACAGGUUAAUAUUCCUGUACUUCUGGUUAUUGCGAUGGAGGGACGGAGAAGGCUAGGCCAGCUUGGCGUUGGUUGUCCAAGUUUAAGGUGGUAGGCUGAGAUCUUAGGUAAAUCCGGGAUCUUAAGGCCGAGAGCUGAUGACGAGUU
Molecule: ribosomal RNA, 1519 nt
Filed under: Pseudomonas extremaustralis
Lineage: Bacteria; Pseudomonadati; Pseudomonadota; Gammaproteobacteria; Pseudomonadales; Pseudomonadaceae
Also listed under: 6 other names
Description: partial 23S ribosomal RNA
Rfam family: Bacterial large subunit ribosomal RNA
Source: RNAcentral